This is a non-coding RNA of Marasmius sp. AFHP31, 103 nucleotides long. Lineage: Eukaryota; Fungi; Basidiomycota; Agaricomycetes; Agaricales; Marasmiaceae. The record is from the annotation of a GenBank genome assembly.
GGCCUAAUGGUCUAGUAGUAUGAUUCUCGCUUUGGGUAGAACACUGAGCUCGAUGCUGCCACCCACGUGCGAGAGGUCCUGGGUUCAAUUCCCAGUUGGGCCC